GAUGAAGAACGUAGCAAAAUGCGAUAAGUAAUGUGAAUUGCAGAAUUCAGUGAAUCAUCGAAUCUUUGAACGCACAUUGCGCCCCUUGGUAUUCCGAGGGGCAUGCCUGUUCGAGCGUCAUUAUAACCCCUCAAGCUCGGCUUGGUGUUGGGGCCUGCCGCACGGGCAGCCCUUAAAAUCAGUGGCGGUGCCAUCUGGCUCUAAGCGUAGUAAUUCUUCUCGCUAUAGAGUCCCGGUGGAUGCUUGCCAUUAACCCCCAAUUUCAAUGGUUGACCUCGGAUCAGGUAGGGAUACCCGCUGAACUUAAGCAUAUCAAUAAGCGGAGGA
RNAcentral lists this unclassified non-coding RNA (327 nucleotides) under soil metagenome. Its description in RNAcentral is "partial contains 5.8S ribosomal RNA, internal transcribed spacer 2, and large subunit ribosomal RNA". The stretch from base 1 to 120 matches the Rfam family "5.8S ribosomal RNA", at positions 35 to 154 of the family's 154-position model. The record is from RNAcentral.